CCAGACUCCUACGGGAGGCAGCAGUGGGGAAUAUUGGGCAAUGGGCGCAAGCCUGACCCAGCAACGCCGCGUGAAGGAAGAAGGCUUUCGGGUUGUAAACUUCUUUUCUCAGGGACGAAGCAAGUGACGGUACCUGAGGAAUAAGCCACGGCUAACUACGUGCCAGCAGCCGCGGUAAUACGUAGGGGGCAAGCGUUAUCCGGAUUCACUGGGUGUAAAGGGAGCGUAGACGGCGACGCAAGUCUGGAGUGAAAGCCCGGGGCCCAACCCCGGGACUGCUCUGGAAACUGCGUCGCUGGAGUACGGGAGGGGCAGGCGGAAUUCCUGGUGUAGCGGUGAAAUGCGUAGAUAUACGGAGGAACACCAGUGGCGAAGGCGGAUUGCUGGACAGUAACUGACGCUGAGGCGCGAAAGCGUGGGGAGCAAACAGGAUUAGAUACCCCCGUAU
RNAcentral lists this ribosomal RNA (448 nucleotides) under uncultured bacterium. RNAcentral describes it as "bacterial SSU rRNA". It matches the Rfam family "Bacterial small subunit ribosomal RNA", at positions 331 to 793 of the family's 1533-position model. The record is from RNAcentral.